Non-coding RNA from Triticum urartu, 1471 nucleotides. The record is from RefSeq and is a predicted model, not a curated record. NCBI's taxonomy places the organism in Eukaryota, Viridiplantae, Streptophyta, Magnoliopsida, Poales, Poaceae.
UAGGUUUCAACUGAAUACUCUACUUAUUUUCUGACAAAUACCAUGCAUAACCGAGCAACUAAUUCUGUUUUUUAAACUAGACCAAGCACCUACUGGUGAAAUGGACGUGAACCUUCAGAAAUCAAAUGUCCUCAUAUAGUAAUAUAUUUUACAUGUCUUCUAAUUUUUGAGUCCGUGAAAUACCUGAUGUACGUAGUGCAUAUGAUAUUUUGUAAACUGUAUGUGCUGGAUAGGUGGUUCUUAUGCUGCAAGGUAAUCGGGAGGCCUGCUCCUCCCCCGCAUAUGCCGCAUAAGUUAAGAUGUUGCCUGCCAAGCCCACAUAUUAUUAAGUGGGAUGUACUCUAAACUUAUAAUCAUUUAGUAUGAUGUAAUGCUAAAACAGUGAUUUAUUAUACAACACGAUGGUACUUUUGGAUGGUAGUACGUUAAUUUAUUAGGAUGUAGUACUGAUACACUGAUUCAUUCGACUACUAGUGCUGGAUGGAUUUUCAGGUUGGACAGAUCACUGUACUGCUGUGCAACUUCCCCUAGCUUCACAUUGCAAGCCCAAUGAUUCUUGUGCCUGGGAUACCCACAUAAAACAGGUUGUUAUUUUUACUUGCCGCCAUUCACCAUCCAACUGGAGUUUUGCAACAUGCAAAUUGCAUGUACGUCUGUUAGGUCAGCAGCAUGCUAAUUGCCUGAGCUUGAGUACCACAAAUGUGAAGUUUUGACUUUCCUAUUGUAAUGGUUAGCGUGAAACUAGAAAUUGCUUCAAAACCUACCUGAAAGUUUCUUGCUUUGACACAGUCUUACUAGAUGGUACAGUGGCUGUCGUCCAGAAAAUAAAUCUCUUUGGAAAAUAAAUAUUACGAGACUACUCUGAACAAUACUACUCCUUCAACUUGUACAUACUCCUAGGCUGUUGCUGUAUGGUUCCAAAAAUCCCAGAUAAAAAUCUGGAUGACAUUUACAUCUGUAGAGUAUGACUUGUUGUUUAUCCUGUUAAUUCAGUUGACUUUCUCUCUUGAAAUCUAGCCAAACACAGAAACAAGCACACUGCCGUAUUUGUACCGGCAAGAUCUCUUUUCACACCAUCUAGUCCAAAACAGAAAGCUGUUGUAUUCUCUGAUGAACUUCAAGGCAACGAAAAUGCAGCAGGAUAUAUGCAAGAUUCCUUGGGUACUUUGCACAAGAUAUUCAUGACACGCAAGCAGAGCCAUAUUAACAUAGAUAUAUUAAUCCUACUUGUUGCCUCUCACAACUGCAUGAGAUGAUAGUUGCCAUGAAGAGCAUUGAUUGCAAGAAAUUGAAUAAGAAACUUUUAUAUAUGUUGUUGAUGUAAAUUGGAUUGUGCUGGUCCUAAACUUGCUAUGUGUUGUAUUUUGUCAAUUCGUGUUGUAAAUUAUCAUUUCAUGGAGGAUUUUGUAAACUGCUAUGUUGUACAUAUUGGUAGAUGGCUGCAUAAGUACUACAUGAUCUUUCUAUUUUA